CAUCUCUAAAUAAAUAAAUAAAGUGGGAAUAAAAUGGUAAAUAUUGAACAGAGUAGAAUAGAUGUUUGAGUGUGGGUGUAUGGGAGAAUAGAGGAUAAGGCUAAAGAGGGAAAAUAAAUAAGUGCAUUCAGGUGUGUAUGACUGAUGUGUGUAACUGAGGAGUGUGGCUAACUUUACCCUACUGCUCUAACGUAGUGUUCAACAUACAUUAGUCAAUAGACCAAUUGCUCUCUAGUUUGUUCGAAAGAUAGAACCUUUGGCUUCCAGCACUGUUCAGUUCGGUGGUCAUGAUAUCUUACAUGUGGAGAACUUAGUCAAAAUUAUUAAAAAUUCCUGUCUCACAGCAACCCCUAAAACAUGCAGGCUUAGGCGUUGCCCUAUCUGACAGCUUAGGGAACAGAGGGCAGGAGAUUAACACCAUUUGUGGGGCUGCCCUAUGCCAGGACUGGGCUUGGGACUUCAAGGAUGUGGUCAUGUUUAAAGUUCUCAGUGUCUACAAGAUGAUUGUUGCAUUGCUGCUUUAUGGAGGAGGGACCAGAGAGGCAGGCAGUUCAGCUGUUGUUGGCCCAAGCUUGACUGGCCGUGGAAUACCAGCCCCUUACUGCUAGCCCAGCGUGGGUCCCUAUGUCCCCAAAGCCCACAGCAGAAUUUCUGGCGUGGAUUACAGAGUGUCCUUGGGAGAAUGACUAUGACAGAAGGAGCUGGAUACAGUUCUCUUGCAGGAUCUCCUUCCCAGCCUUCAGAAAUUGCCGGUCUGGGAGUUGGGGGCAAGGAGAAGAUCCUGCAACCCAGUGAUUCCAUGGAAAGCAGAAAGAAGGACAUAAAGAAACGGAUACUUGGUGACAUCUUUGACUCACUGGAUCAAACCUUGCCUGAAGCUCACAUUUCUGAAAUUUCCAGAUACAAGAACAAAUACUUCCUCUUUAUUGUUUUACUAGAUUUGAGACAAGCUUUAAGUUUCUCAGACUCUUCCUCUUCCUAACAGAUUUAUCAGAAGCUGAAAGCUCUGAUCUUGUUGGGAUGCGGAUCGUGUCAGGAGAAGGCUUACUUUGCACGCUUUUCUUAGUCUGGUUGCCUAACUCAAGAACCUCGGCAUGGCUCUGUUACUUCUCUACUCAGACAAGCAUCCCUGCAGACACUCACUAGGCUAACUCUGUCUUUAUUUUUAGAAUUAGACCUUUACGAGAAGCACAGUUUUGUCUUCAGUUUCCUCUCCCCCCACCCGGAAUGGCCUGAGCCGAAGCCAGCUCCCUCCGAGAAGUCAUUACCGCCUGACUUGCGUUUGAUAUUUAGACACCUUGGUCACAACAUCUUGCAUUCUCUCGGGAUGCUGAUUUCUAACUGCUCUUUGGCCUUUCCUGCAUUGGUCCUCCUCAGGCAGGGGAUCCCUGCUCUUCUAUAUUAAUGCUGGCUCCCCGUCCCCUGUCCACC
RNAcentral lists this long non-coding RNA (1431 nucleotides) under Homo sapiens (human). RNAcentral's name for it is "HSALNT0381871". The record is from RNAcentral. Lineage: Eukaryota; Metazoa; Chordata; Mammalia; Primates; Hominidae.